This 789-nucleotide long non-coding RNA is filed under the name Cavia porcellus (domestic guinea pig). Its description in RNAcentral is "lncRNA (ENSCPOG00000030013.1)". The record is from RNAcentral. Lineage: Eukaryota; Metazoa; Chordata; Mammalia; Rodentia; Caviidae.
UGAGUCUGAAGCCAGCAUCCCAGAGGACGUAGAUCUGACUAGAGCUGAGUCUCUGAACCCAGGAAGAAGAACACUUCAGGAGACAGGUAAUCACUGCUGCUCAGAAAUCAUGUGCUGGGGGACUUCUUUCGCCACUGUAUAUCUGGGCCUUAAGAAGAUCUAAAGUUCUUGGUCCAAGGUACCUGAAACUAUUUCCAAGAAUUCCAGAUGACGAUUUGUUUAGUCACUUUCAAAGACAGCCCCUGAUUCAGGUAAUCCUGAAGCAGAGAGGAUUUUGACCAAUGAAUUAUCACUGGCAUCUGUAUUUUUCAUAGGAAUCUAAGCUGGUGCCUUUAUCUACAAACCCAGAUGUCCUUUGAUGGUCAGAAAACCUGAUGAGACUGAGGAUUGUGAUGUACAGGAUCUUUAGAGAUGCUUCUUUGGAUGGAGAAGCAGGUUACAGAGGCUGACUUUCUGUCAGUUACGUAAGAGUAUCCAAUGUGAAGUUGAGAAAACUGACUACCAGCUGUGAAGAGGGCCAGAACAGUGAUAGACACACACUGCCCACUACUUCCUUUCCUCUGAACUCAGAGGCUUACUGCUCUGGAGGGCCCUGGGGGGAUGCUAUGGAAUCUCCUAACCCUCUCAGAUGCAAUGAUGAAUGACAUCCAAAGCCAUUACAUCUGGAGAACUAGGACCAUCCUUGCCAACACUGAGAUGGGAGCUUCCAUUCCAUUCCAGCUGCUGCUGCCCUAUUCUUUUCCUCUGGUAUACCUCGUCCUUCGCACAGAAAACCCUGAAGUCAGAUGA